AACGAACGCUGGCGGCAUGCCUAACACAUGCAAGUCGAACGAGACCUUCGGGUCUAGUGGCGCACGGGUGCGUAACGCGUGGGAACCUGCCUUUAGGUUCGGAAUAACUCUCCGAAAGGGGUGCUAAUACCGAAUAAUGUCUUCGGACCAAAGAUUUAUCGCCUUUAGAUGGGCCCGCGUUGGAUUAGCUAGUUGGUGGGGUAAAGGCCUACCAAGGCGACGAUCCAUAGCUGGUCUUAGAGGAUGANCAGCCACACUGGGACUGAGACACGGCCCAGACUCCUACGGGAGGCAGCAGUGGGGAAUCUUGCGCAAUGGGCGAAAGCCUGACGCAGCCAUGCCGCGUGGACGAUGAAGGUCUUA
RNAcentral lists this ribosomal RNA (363 nucleotides) under uncultured bacterium. RNAcentral's name for it is "bacterial SSU rRNA". It matches the Rfam family "Bacterial small subunit ribosomal RNA", at positions 29 to 419 of the family's 1533-position model. The record is from RNAcentral.